AUUGAAGCCUAGCGAUAUGUAAGUUAGUGGCGGACGGGUGAGUAACGCGUGGGUAACCUGCCUUGUACUGGGGGACAACAGUUGGAAACAGAUGCUAAUACCGCAUAAGCCCACAGGUCGGCAUCGACCAGAGGGAAAAGGAGCAAUCCGCUUUGAGAUGGCCUCGCGUCCGAUUAGCUAGUUGGUGAGGUAACGGCCCACCAAGGCGACGAUGCAUAGCCGACCUGAGAGGGUGAUCGGCCACAUUGGGACUGAGACACGGCCCAAACUCC
This 272-nucleotide ribosomal RNA is filed under the name uncultured Eubacteriales bacterium. RNAcentral describes it as "uncultured Clostridiales bacterium partial 16S ribosomal RNA". It matches the Rfam family "Bacterial small subunit ribosomal RNA", at positions 59 to 339 of the family's 1533-position model. Lineage: Bacteria; Bacillati; Bacillota; Clostridia; Eubacteriales. The record is from RNAcentral.